UACGGAGGGGGCUAGCGUUGUUCGGAUUUACUGGGCGUAAAGAGCGCGCAGGCGGUCGUCCAAGUCGCGUGUGAAAGCCCCCGGCUCAACUGGGGAGGGUCACGCGAUACUGGUCGACUCGAAGGCAGGAGAGGGUAGUGGAAUUCCCGGUGUAGUGGUGAAAUGCGUAGAUAUCGGGAGGAACACCAGUGGCGAAGGCGACUACCUGGCCUGUUCUUGACGCUGAGGCGCGAAAGCUAGGGGAGCAAACGGG
Molecule: ribosomal RNA, 253 nt
Filed under: uncultured bacterium
Lineage: Bacteria
Description: partial 16S ribosomal RNA
Rfam family: Bacterial small subunit ribosomal RNA
Source: RNAcentral